Brassica napus (rape) is the source of this 65-nucleotide non-coding RNA. The record is from Rfam. Lineage: Eukaryota; Viridiplantae; Streptophyta; Magnoliopsida; Brassicales; Brassicaceae.
GCGGGGAUAGCUCGAGCGUCAGACUGAAGAUCUGAAGGUUGCGUGUUCCAUCCACGCUCACCGCA